GUUUUCAUUGCUUAGCUGGUUAAAGCGCCUGUCUCAUUAACAGGCGAUCACGAAUUCGAAUCUCGUCGGUGACA
This 74-nucleotide transfer RNA is filed under the name Araneus ventricosus. It matches the Rfam family "tRNA". From Rfam's summary of the family: Transfer RNA (tRNA) molecules are approximately 80 nucleotides in length. Their secondary structure includes four short double-helical elements and three loops (D, anti-codon, and T loops). Lineage: Eukaryota; Metazoa; Arthropoda; Arachnida; Araneae; Araneidae. The record is from Rfam by way of RNAcentral.